AUGGAAACACAGAAGUUCGUCUUCAUCGCCAUCGUCCUCCCCACCUCACGAACUCAACCUUCCCAAACUCACUCCUUCACUCUCUCUUCUCUCGGUAACAUUCAUCAACACUCACAAUCUCACUCACACCAAACUUCACAUUUCUCUCAAUCCCACUCUCGUUCUCAACGAACCCCUCUCAAUCACUCUCAGCUCUCACAAUAUUUUCAAUCAACAAGCAUAAAGAGAAAGAAAAAGAGGUCCUUACAAAGUGUCACUGCGGUGGUGGUGAAGGAUGCGAAGAAGCUGGCCUCCAGCUUAGGGUUUUGACUCGGUGCCCUUCUUCCAAAAGAGUAACUCUGUAACCUCCUUUCUGAUGUGCUCAGUUUGGAUGGGCUUCUUUGGUGCUAGGUUCGAAAGUGUGAAAAUGGUGAGCUUGGUUUGAUGCAUCCUCGUUCAUGUUUGGUAGGUUAGUCCUUUGUCUCAUAUUCUGGUUCAAUGCCUUAUAAGUUUUAAUCCCACUAUUUGCACUCAAUUCCUUGCCCUCACUUGUUUCUCUUGCUGCAACAUGGACUUGGCCUAUCAUGUUCAAGCUAAGGUCUAGCCCUGGUAGCCUAUGAUGCAAGCUUGGAAACUGUUUGGCUUUGAGGUGUGCACAUUGUGAUGAAGGUGUAAUGUUGCUGCUCACUUGGUCUUGCAAUGUCAUGUUGGAUCAUUUUUCAGUUCAGCAGGACCUUGUUUGUCUUGUGGUGAGCUUUUGGACAAUUGUUGGGACUGUCUUUGUAUUGUAGGAUGACCUUUCAGCUAGGCAAUGUUGGCUGCAAUUUCGCAUUAGGUCCUGCUUGCUUACGCUCACAACAGAUUAUGACUUGGACAUUGACAACAAACUUAAGGCUUUAGUUUCAUGGUAUGUCAACAACACUUCAUGUCUUGUGCAUUGAUGGUGUUUCUUGUUGGAUAUGAUUUGGUUUUUAUGUGCAAUCACCAUUGCCUCUUGCUCCAUGAUUCCAAGAUAGCCAAGACAAUUGUACCAUUACAGCUUGGUGCACUGAGGGAUUUUGCCUAGGUUGCAAGUCUGCUAGCAUUUGGCUUAGAUUUCAAAGCAAUGUAGUAAGCAAGCCAAAGGUCAGCUGGCAGUUGAAUUGGCUAUGUUACAGUUAUGUGUCUUAGGUUUAUUAUGUAAAAUUCCAGUUCAUGUAUCAUGAUUGAUUUAAAUGAAUGGCUCCCCUGCAAGCUGUUUUGGUCUAAGUGUUUAUUGAUGAUGGCAAGGCUAGUGGAUUUGCAACAGGUAUGAGGAUCAUGAUGUCCCAAGUCCAACUUGGCCAGUACUGCAGCAGCAGGUAAGGUACUCCUUGAUGCAUAAUGGUUUUCACACUACAGCUCAUGAGAGUGGUGGUUAUGUAUGACUUGGUCUUUAUUGUCACAACUGAUGGCUUUGCUAACAAGAUGAUAGGCUAACACACUCCAAGGCCUGGCACGGUGUGCAGCUAGUAUUGGUGCAAUCCUGUAGGCUAGUAUGUGCAUAGCUUGACAAUUCAAUGAGUAGAGCUUGUUGAUGAUGAUGAUGGCAUGAUAAGCUUGAUGGUUCCAUGAUAGUUCAGGAUAGUGGUAUGGAGUUUCAAAGUUUGGACUGCUCCUAAUAUUCUAUUAUCUCAUAGAACUAUUGGCAUGAUGGUUUGGUGCAUCUCAUGGGAUAUCCGUCCUUGGUUUAAACAAUGCCUUAGCAUGUACCUUGUGGUAUUCUGAUUUUGUUUGAUGGCUUUUUCUAACAGGCCAGUUGCUGUGGACUUACAACUUCGGAUGCAUUUGUCUGUUUUGGGUGUCAUGGCUGAACCAGGGAGGAUCUUCUGUUGCUCAAGGCUUAUGCUGGCUUAAUGUUCAUGUACUAGUUCUGCAGCAGGUGCUCGUGGAUAAUAGGUUGGUUUGUGAUGCAUUGUGAAUUGGUACAAGUUUGUUCAAAUGGAAUUGCUUCAAAUCAUUUGCUCUAAGUUCAGUCAUCACGCCAUGACCUUAUGGAAUUCAAGUUUCGAUUUGGCAGCUGCAGGACCAUGAUGACAGGAUGCUAGUACAAGGUGUGUCAAGGGCCAGUUCAGCAGGGUAAAGGUUACCAACUGAUGUUCUGUUGCACCACUGAUGUUGUUUGUAGGCUCAAGUAAAGCAACCAGGUUUAUCAAUACAAAGACCUGGAUGAUAAUUCUGGUUUAACAUGGUGACGGUCAGAUUCAUUUAGGCCUGCUAUAGGAUUAUGAUGGCAGGACAUUUACCAAGAGGAGUUCAAGGCCAAAUCCAUUUGAAAUGCAAUGUGAAGCCACAUUUGGAAACGCAUCAAAGCCCAAUAGCAUAGUACCCCAAGCAUGACUUUUGGAUGGUGGAUCAAUGAAGGAAGACUAGUCUAGGUCUUAGGUGGUAAAAAAAAGUGAGUUGGCCUUGGUCAAAGUUGACCAAAAAAAGUCAAUUGUUGACCAAAGUCAACAAAUAGCAUUUCUUUGUAUUUCCUUUAUGACUUCUUUGUAAAUGGAUAUUCAAUGGACAAUUGUGGAUAGA
Molecule: long non-coding RNA, 2523 nt
Organism: Lathyrus oleraceus (garden pea)
Lineage: Eukaryota; Viridiplantae; Streptophyta; Magnoliopsida; Fabales; Fabaceae
Exons: 10
Source: RefSeq, a predicted model, not a curated record